This 165-nucleotide ribosomal RNA is filed under the name uncultured bacterium. RNAcentral describes it as "partial 16S rRNA". It matches the Rfam family "Bacterial small subunit ribosomal RNA", at positions 355 to 511 of the family's 1533-position model. The record is from RNAcentral.
UAGGGAAUCUUCCACAAUGGGCGCAAGCCUGAUGGAGCAACACCGCGUGAGUGAAGAAGGGUUUCGGCUCGUAAAGCUCUGUUGUAAGAGAAGAACGUGUGUGAGAGUGGAAAGUUCACACAGUGACGGUAACUUACCAGAAAGGGACGGCUAACUACGUGCCAG